Non-coding RNA from Globicephala melas (long-finned pilot whale), 1842 nucleotides. NCBI's taxonomy places the organism in Eukaryota, Metazoa, Chordata, Mammalia, Artiodactyla, Delphinidae. The record is from RefSeq and is a predicted model, not a curated record.
GUGGGCCCGGGCCCCGUGAUGGGCCGGCUGGGCCGGUCUCCCGACGCAGUAAGAACCCCCUACCCGCUGCCUCCCAACCAGAACCGCUUGGCACACCUUCAGGCACAGAACGUUUAUUGGCCACCUACUAUGCGCCAGGGGGAGACCAAGGCCAACAGCAUUCUCAGGCAGUCCUUGUCUGUUUCCCACUGAACCCUCCAGAGACCAGCAGGGAGGGCCGCUGAGACCAGACAGCAGAGUCCUGGGCAGGCUGACUCAGUUGCUCGAAUCCUCCCUCCAAGGCCAAGAACACCUGUGAUCCUGGAUCAGGACAGCUUUCUCCUCCCAGAGGAAAGCUCGGACCCCUGCCACCACCUCGCCACUGAAUCCUGUCAGGGGUCAAGCAUUUGGUGGGCUUCCACUGGGCGCCACCGACUCUGCUGGAUUUUGUGAUGAAUGUAAAAAGCUGGAAGAUCCAGUGCCUGGUGCAGAGUAGGCAUUCAAUAAGUUAUCAUCGAAGGAAUGAAUAAGAGAGUUCUUCCUUCAGAGAGUUCAUAGUCCAGCCUGGAGGAAACUGGCAACCACCAAUGAGAGGCAGAAUUGGAAGAGGGAGAAGGGCUGUCUGGGCUGGUGGGAUAACCCCAAUGUGAAAUGGGCUCACAGACUGUAAGUCUCUUGAAGUCUGAAUGUCUCCUGGUUGGCAAUGAUCUCUCCAGCAUUGGUCACUGUGCCCAGAACAGGGCUCCCACCUGCAUUGAUGUCACCUGGGGCACUGGGCAGGUUUUCCACCUUUCUCUAAGGCUGGGCCUGAUUAUUACAACGAAUAGCAGCUGUGAUCGUAUUUACGAGGAGAGCGCGCAGUUUUAGUAUUCAGAGCCCUGGCUUCAGAUGAGAGCCGGGGGCCUCUGAUUCUCUCUGCAAUGCAGCCUUCCAGGCCACUGCUGUUGCUUAAGGCUGUGCUGCAAUCCGGAGCACUCAGGAGUGGGAAGUCCAGAGUUCUCCCCACUUCUGGGAACAGCCCUCCAUCCCCCUCCCCGCGCCAGCUUCCACAGGCAGUCCUCAUGACAGUGGGUCAGGCUAACCCAGGGUUUCACAAAUGCCUGGCCUGUUCCCAGCACAGCACAGCUGGGAGGGCUCAGCACUGGGGGAAGGAGCACCGUCCUCCUCCCCCUGCCAUCCUCAGGCUGGGGCCCAGGGGCUGGAGCCCAGCAGAGGGAAGGGCUGCACUUGUCUGCACUUGCCCCAGUGCGGGCAGUGAUCCUGGGCCUUCCCUCCCUGCUAAUUUCCCAGCUCUGGCUUAGUCAAGUUUCAAGGAGGAUAUUCCCUUUCCCGGGAAGUGAGGAGGAUCCAGGCUUGUCUUCCCCAAAGGAAGCGAGUGGUCUCAGAGUCACCUGAGGAGGUGUUGCGUAUUGAGAUUCCCCACUCUCCUUGAUUCAGCUUCUGAUUCAGAAAAGCUGAGCUUGGAGUCCGGGAAUCUGCAAUUUCAUCCACUCCCUGGGGACUAGCCGCAGGUGGUUCUUUGGCUUUCAUGAGCCUUGGGAGGGAGGCAGCUCUGGGAGGUGAGAAGGGUUGAGCCAAAAAAAGCCCUGUUUUCUCAGGUAGGACCUCCGGCUCUCUCUAAUGAGCUCCAUGACCCUGGAAUAACUGCCCUUGCAAUCCAAGUCUCACUUUCACUAUCACUGAAAUGGAUGUGUGACCCGAGGGAAGGGUGAUCAAAUGUCCUGGACAUUCAGGGCUACUAACCCAGGACAAGCUGGUCACCGUACCUGAGGAUGAGACAGGACUGUGGAUGUUCGAGGUACUGGAAAUGUGACUUAAAGAUGAGUCUUUGCGGCACAAAUAUCAGACUGUUUAUUUUAUUUA